UGCCUGUGAUGACUUGCCAUGCUAAUACUGAAACACCCCCCCCCCCCCCGAGCUCAGUAAAAGGGGGUUUGGAUGAGUGUUACUUCUUGCACUGAGGCGC
Small nucleolar RNA from Euleptes europaea (tarantolino), 100 nucleotides. Lineage: Eukaryota; Metazoa; Chordata; Lepidosauria; Squamata; Sphaerodactylidae. The record is from RefSeq and is a predicted model, not a curated record.